UACGUAGGGGGCGAGCGUUGUCCGAAGUUACUGGGCGUAAAGCGCGCGUAGGCGGUCUAUUAAGUGGCCGGUGAAAUCGCCGGGCUCAACUCGGCGUAGUCUGGUCAUACUGGUAGACUGGAGUGUGGGAGAGGAGAGCGGAACUCCAGGUGUAGCGGUGAUAUGCGUAGAGAUCUGGAAGAACACCCGUGGCGAAGGCGGCUCUCUGGACCACAACUGACGCUGAGGUGCGAAAGCCAGGGGAG
This 245-nucleotide ribosomal RNA is filed under the name uncultured bacterium. RNAcentral's name for it is "partial 16S ribosomal RNA". It matches the Rfam family "Bacterial small subunit ribosomal RNA", at positions 524 to 768 of the family's 1533-position model. The record is from RNAcentral.